Molecule: ribosomal RNA, 115 nt
Filed under: Periophthalmus magnuspinnatus
Lineage: Eukaryota; Metazoa; Chordata; Actinopteri; Gobiiformes; Gobiidae
Source: RNAcentral
CCAAUAUACCAUACCGACUUGUCAAAGUCUGAUCUCGUCUGAUCUCAGAAGCUGAGCAGGACUGGGCCUGGUUAGUACUUGGGAGACUGCUGUGAAUACCAGGGGCCACAGUGGC